AUACAGAGGGUGCAAGCGUUAAUCGGAAUUACUGGGCGUAAAGCGCGCGUAGGUGGUUAGUUAAGUUGGAUGUGAGAGCCCUGGGCUCAACCUGGGAAUGGCAUUCAAAACUGGCUGACUAGAGUAUGGUAGAGGGAAGGGGAAUUCCAGGUGUAGCGGUGAAAUGCGUAGAUAUCUGGAGGAACAUCAGUGGCGAAGGCGCCUUCCUGGACUAAUACUGACACUGAGGUGCGAAAGCGUGGGUAGCAAACAGGAUUAGAAACCCUAGUAGUCC
This 274-nucleotide ribosomal RNA is filed under the name uncultured bacterium. Its description in RNAcentral is "partial 16S ribosomal RNA". It matches the Rfam family "Bacterial small subunit ribosomal RNA", at positions 523 to 796 of the family's 1533-position model. The record is from RNAcentral.